AAAACAGCUGAAAAUUAAACCAAUUCUCGAAAAAAGCUGGGUGUCACAUCCCCUGGCUUGUGGCCAGGUUCUGUGUAAAGGACAAGCCACCUGUAGGAUUGCAACUCUGUGAUUGGCUGUGGAUCUGAGAAGUUUCCCCGCUCUUCUGAAUACCUGUGUGGUUGCAACACCGCGAUUGGCUGUGGACCAGGGAGGCUGAUCUGCUCUUCUGACUCCCUAAUUGGACGACUGCCCUCCAGACAAGCCCACCUGUGGAACACCCGCCCUUUAUAAGGGAAGGAAGCGCCAACAUUCGGGGCAGCUGGUCAUUAGACCCUCAGCUUGCCUCUGGGACUGUUAGAGAAGCGUUGGUUGGUUUGUUUGAAUUGGACUUGAACUUGAUUGUUUGUAAGAGCAUUUAGUUUUCCCUUUAGUAUUCAAUUGUGUUCAGUUUAGUUGAAAUUGAGAUUGUUCGCUCUCAUCGUUUGUGAGUAGCUUUUGGUUUUUGGUACGUUUUAUAGCUG
Melanotaenia boesemani (Boeseman's rainbowfish) is the source of this 503-nucleotide long non-coding RNA. RefSeq lists it as uncharacterized. The record is from RefSeq and is a predicted model, not a curated record. NCBI's taxonomy places the organism in Eukaryota, Metazoa, Chordata, Actinopteri, Atheriniformes, Melanotaeniidae. The transcript is spliced from 4 exons.